ACUGGGCGGCCGGACGGGCCCCGGCCCGCGGGCGCGGCCGCGCGGGGGGCAGCGCCGUGCCGCCGCAGGAGCGUGGGGCAGGCAGCAGGCCUGCAGGGAGCAGCCGGCAGUGUGGCACGGCAGGCCGAGCGCGGGUUCAAAGGUGCACUUUAAUGAUUACCAAGUCAUGCUACUUUGAGAGUUAAAAUCGAAAGCUCCGUCACGGAGAAUUCAUUCCCGGCAAGUGCAAGCAUUUGCAUAUCCUAGCAUUGAUCUAUUGACAUGUAUCCCUACUUCUAUGUGUUUCCAGUCUUCCACGUCUAGAUGUCCUCUGUUAUUUCUAGUGAUAACUGAAAUGUUGUGGGCCUUAUAGAUGAAAGUUUAACACUUUGCAUUUGCUGCUUGCGUCAGAUACCUUAGUAUGUCUCUGACAAAUAGGGUAUAUUUUUUUCAGCAAUGCCCAACCCAAAUUCCAGUUCAUUGUCAUGAAUCGCCGGAAUACUGGUAUUUUAGCAUGUAAUUUUCUUGAGCUUGUUUGAUCUGGUAUGAUAGAUUAUUAUUCUACCCUUUGCAAGACUUACACAUGAGAAUAAUUCAAUCAUGUGACAUGAAUGGUGAUCGGUAUGAACCUGCCGGUUCAAAACUUCAAGUAGCAUAUUGGGGAACUGUUUUUUUCUGGGGAACUGUUUUUUCUGUGAACAAUCGUGAUCUUUGCUAACUGCUCUUUGCUCCUGCCAUUAGGAAGUAGUUGGAAUUUUAGAUAAUUCCAUCUUAUAAACUUCAAUGUUGGUCUUAUAUGGGAUACCAUGAACUUGGACAUGCUCUUAUACUUCAGCCCCCCCCUAUGUAUUUUUUCUGGAUCCGCCACUGUCUGUAUCCAAAUGCACCAACUCAUAGCAAUAAUAAUAUUAAUAUCCAUGAAGAAGGGGACUCCCAACUGGAUCUUUAAAGUUUCAAGUGUGACAAAAGGCUCAUCAAAACCAACGGCAAUACCAAUUUUGGACCAGCAAGCUUGUGCAAAAUUGCAGUGGAUAAACAAGUGUGCCAGAGAUUCCUCCACAACUAUGUUGCAGCAAGCACAAUCAUACGAGGGGAGGGCCAUGUUCCUUCUCUUAAGUAAUUCUCUUGUAGAUAGUCUAUCCUGAAGAAGAAGCCAAAACAAAACCCUAUGCUUAUUUUGGCAAGCUGAUUUCCAAAGCCAUGUAAAAGUCACAGGAACCAUUCUAUGUCCUGUGCUGUGGAUCUCAUCUGUAUUGAAAACAUCAGCGUUGUCAUCGGUACUCAGAACAUUUUACAAGCUGAAUUCAUAACUUAUCUAGCAAACAAGACUAAGGUUCCUGUUAUCAGUUUCUCAGCAACAAGGGACACUCAGUAGUCAGUAUCAUGUCCCAUACUUUGUUCGUGCUUGUGUCAAGGACUCCUUCCAAGCAGCUUCAAUUGCUGCCUUUGUUAAAGCAUAUGGCUGGAAAAAUGUUGUCAUUGUCUAUGAGGACAAUGAUUAUGGUGUGGGCAUCCUCCCUUCCAUUACUGAUGCCCUUCAAAGUGUUGAGACACAUGUCAUUUACCGUUCUGCCAUUCCUGCUUCUUCACCAAACAGUAUCAUUGAUUUGGGACUAUAUAAGCUCAUGACCAUGCAGACACGUGUCUUCAUUGUCCAUAUGUUGCCAGCUCGUGCUUCCCGUUUCUUUGCUCGAGCUUCAGCAGCUGGCAUGAUGACUGAAGGGUAUGUCUGGAUUGUUACAGAUAAUGUUGGCAUCAGCCUUGAUGUACUUCCCCAACAUACCAUUGAAACCAUGCAAGGUGUUGUCGGUUUCCGGCCAUAUGUAGCAAAGUCUGCGAGGAACAUAGACUUCGUGGGUCGAUUUAUUGCACGAAUUGGAGCCAAAUACCAUCAACACCCUAAUAUAAGGAUUGCAAAACCUACCAUCUACCAAUUCUGGGCGUAUGAUGUGGCAUGGGCAGUUGCAAUUGCAACUGAGAAGGUAAAGAGAUUCAGAUUUUCAAAUAAAUGCUUUCAGAUGCCAGAAGGUAUGAACAGGAGCUUAAUAGAUACUCUCCUACCAUCUCCUGUUGGGCCAGAAGUCCUCGGUGCCAUUUUGGAAACAGACUUUGAUGGAUUGGCUGGGAGAUUCACACUUGUGGAUAGACAUAUGCAAGUUCCUGUUUAUGAGAUUGUCAAUGUGAUUGGAGAUCAAGCAAAGGGCAUUGGGUUUUGGAGCCCAGCUUCUGGACUGUCGAGGAUUCUAAACUCAAGCACAAGCCAUGGACAAACUAAUUUUAGCAUAGACGCAGGUGAAAUCCAGUGGCCAGGAGGUUCAAAAAUGGUUCCCAAAGGUUGGGACUUACCAGUGAAUGGAAAAAUACUCCGGAUUGGUGUCCCUAUAAGACAUGCCUUUAACAUUUUUAUGAGUGUUGAUACUAUUCCUGGCACCAAUACAGUAAGUGUCAGUGGCUACAGCAUUGAUGUCUUUGAGGCUGCUGUGAAGAAACUCCCAUAUGCUCUUCGCUAUAAUUACAUUCCAUUUGAUUGUGCAAAUUCUUAUGACAAGCUGGUAACCAGUGUGUACCUCAAGGAGUUUGAUGCAGCAGUGGGUGACAUGACAAUUAUCGCUAACCGAGCUACAGAUGUGGACUUCACAAUGCCAUACACGGAGUCUGGCGUGUCAAUGCUUGUACUAGCCAAGAACAAUGAUAAACUGUCCAUGUGGAUCUUCUUAGAGCCACUAACAAAUGAUCUCUGGAUUGCUACUACAAUAUUUAUCUUUUUCACCGGCCUAGUUGUAUGGAUGAGUGAAUAUCCUACAAAUGAAGAAUUCCAAGGGUCAAGAUUAAAACAGUUCAGCACCGCUUUCUACUUUAUAUUCUCCACAUUGACCUUCUCUCAUGAUCAAAUUAUCAGGCGCCUUCCGUCGAAAGUUCUUGUGGUUAUUUGGUGCUUUGUGGUGUUAACUCUAGUUCAGAGUUAUACGGCAAGCUUGUCGUCAUUGCUAACUGCGAAGAGGUUCCAACCUUCAGUGACUGGUCCGAGUCAACUCUUGCGCAAUGGUGAUUAUGUCGGAUACCAGAAUGGAUCAUUUGUGCUUGCGAAGCUUAAGCAGCUCAAGUUCGAUGAGCGCAAGAUAAAGGUGUUCAGCACGCCAGAGGAAUAUGCAAAGGCAUUGAGGGCAGGAUCAAACAAUGGAGGGGUAUCAGCUAUCUUUGAUGAGAUCCCCUAUCUAAAUACUUUUCUCGUGCAAUAUGGAUCAGAGUUCCAGAUAGUUGGUCACAUCGAUAGUGCUGCUGGAUUUGGUUUUGUUUUCCCUAGAGGCUCUCCAUUGGUACCUGACCUUUCAAGGGCCAUCUUGGACUUGAGAGAGGGGCACGAAGGGUUUGCAAUACAACAGAAAUGGUUCGGGGAUGCAACUCCUUCACUCGAUUAUGGUGGUCGUGGCACUGAUUACGCGCGUCUCAGCUUAAAAAGUUUUGCAGGCCUCUUCAUCAUCAAUAGCUUUGUGCUAGUAAUUGUUCUGGCCAUAGCUUUGUUUAGGCUUGUUUGGGCCUACCAGAGGCGUUCCCAUGUUAAUGGAGAAACUGUUGGUGACACGGAACCACAACCAUUGCAGGAUGACAUGGCCACGAACUCUGUGCCUGCUGAGUCACUCCAGGCUGAGACUAUUGGUGACAUCGGUCAUCAACAACUGCGCUUGGCCAUCGCCUCUGUGCCUGUUGAAUCACUCGAGGUUGAGACGACGACCAGCUAGAGCAUUAGCGGUUAUCGUCAGGUUGCUUUCUGUAGGUUCUAUAUGUCCUCCAGUUCAAUAUAAGAUAGAACAAUGUCGUCGCUCCAGUAUGCACAUGCUACCCUAGUGAUGCUGCUUAUGUGGUCUGGUUAAUUAGCUAGUGGUUCUUCGUUCUAGUACUGUAAGGAGUAAGAGAGCAAUAGUAGCCGUUGGUUUAUGUUCCUUCAGUUAAUUGUCAUCUCUGAUGAAACUCCAUCUUGUCUUUCUUUUAAUUAUUCUUGUUGAAUUGUUAACCGUUGUUUGGUUGAUGUUAUCAUUGGACAGUUUGAUUUAUGGUCAUUGAGGAACAACAUGAACAGCUGCAAUAUAUUAGUGCUGUACAAAACUAUGAUUCUUCCUUUUUUAUAUUAAGAAACAAUUUUGUCA
RNA transcript from Panicum virgatum (switchgrass), 4124 nucleotides. It is a transcript of the gene named glutamate receptor 2.8-like, with no coding region annotated. The transcript has 6 exons. The record is from RefSeq and is a predicted model, not a curated record. Lineage: Eukaryota; Viridiplantae; Streptophyta; Magnoliopsida; Poales; Poaceae.